AGCUUUUUGUCAAGUAAAACUGGCUAAAAGCCAAGUUUUUGUCUGACUGUAUUAAACCUCAGCUCGUGUCAAUCCAAUAAACAGAAGCUCAUCCUAUUGGCCACCUGUAACAAUGGCCAGGACCCUGAGUGUUCCUUCCCGGAAUAGGAACACGAUGUUGGAAAUUUCUGUGACAGUCCCAGGGAGCUUGAGAUUGUCGAUCUUGUCUGGAAACAGGGAAGUUGUUGUUUUGCUCCAGGAGAAGAAGUGGAUGCCAUGAAUGUUCUAAAUAUGGAGAAAGAAAUAUUUUCAGUUACCGAAUGGGCCAGUUGUUUGCCUGGAGUCCCCAUGUUUCUGGACCUCAGCUCCUGGAUGGCUCUGAAUCUGAAAGGAUUACAGACAAGCUCCAGAUAAUAGCCCU
This 400-nucleotide long non-coding RNA is filed under the name Fukomys damarensis (Damara mole-rat). Its description in RNAcentral is "lncRNA (ENSFDAG00000030880.1)". Lineage: Eukaryota; Metazoa; Chordata; Mammalia; Rodentia; Bathyergidae. The record is from RNAcentral.